Populus euphratica (Euphrates poplar) is the source of this 3071-nucleotide RNA transcript. It is a transcript of the gene named RING/FYVE/PHD zinc finger superfamily protein, with no coding region annotated. The record is from RefSeq and is a predicted model, not a curated record. The transcript has 5 exons. NCBI's taxonomy places the organism in Eukaryota, Viridiplantae, Streptophyta, Magnoliopsida, Malpighiales, Salicaceae.
CUCUCCGUACUGUUGAGAGAGCCCUCUUGUAUCUCUCUCGAUUACUCUUUUAACAAGAGAAAACUUCAAGAACCAGAAACAUUGCUGGAGCUUGAGAAAGAGGGAGAGAGGACUAAAGUGGGUUUUCAUUGAAAAUGUCAAUACCAAAUCUUGAAAAUUGCAAGAAAAGGAAAAGAUGGCCAAAACUCUAUGAUUUCAACACAUUUUGUGAACCGGAUUGCCCCAUUAAUCCUAGGGGUCCUUUCCGCGAUAACAUGCGGCUUUUUCUUCAACAAUGUGCAGAACCUGAAGAUUAUAAAGUAGAGGGCAUGUCCAUUUGGUGUACUUUGCUUGUUAUUGAAAGUAAAAACUUUGUUGUUCCACUUUACACCAUUGAAGAAGAUGUUAAGGAGUCAGUUAGACCCUUUUGUGAUCUGUGCAGAUGCAACGGUUGGAGUCACAAUUCUGUUUCCAAAAGAAAGUAUCAUAUGAUAAUACCAGUUGAUAGCGAGUGGAGUCAGAAAUUGGAGGAUGGCGUUUGUGAUCUACAGACACACCUCUUGCAUGGGUUGAUUCACUGUAAUGGUUUUGGUCAUUUACUAUGCAUAAAUGGGAGAGAAGGGGGUUCCAAGUAUCUUUGUGGCCGGGAAAUCAUGGAUCUUUGGGAUCGUAUUUGUGCAAGUCUUCGAACUAGGAAAAUCACUGUUGAGGAUGUAUCAAAGAAGCGGUCCAUGGAUCUUCGCCUUCUUUAUGGGAUUGCAUAUGGACAUCCAUGGUUUGGUAGAUGGGGAUACAAGUUUUGCCAUGGAAGCUUUGGUGUGACAGAGCCCAUAUACUUCAGAGCAAUUGAAAUUCUGAGCACUAUGGAACUUGAGAAGAUCAUUCAAGAUUUCAGUGACACGAGCCUAAGCAAAAGCAUAAAGCAGAUAAUUCACUACUACAAAGACCUGAGUCCAACCCAGCUGAUCACAUUCAAAGAUUUUCUUCGUUUCAUGCUUGCCAUCAGAUCCUGUCCCUGUGUAUGGAAGAAACAAAGCAUGACUGCCACCACCACUUCAAAGCCUCCUAUCAAUAUUGUUCUCCGGAGAAAGCCACUCAUAAAGGAGAAAUGCAUGAAGUACAGAAAUUUUAGCUCGUUGGUUGGUACAAUGGACAGCAGAUGGCCUACGAGAAGACUGCAAUAUGCAGCUGAAGUGAUUGUGGAUGCAUUGAAAGCAAAGAAGGAGGACAAACACAGUCAAGAAGGAAUGACUAGACAAGACGUGAGAGAUGCAGCUCGAAUGCACAUUGGUGAUACAGGCUUGCUUGAUUAUGUUCUGAAAUCAAUGAACAAUGUGGUUGUUGGAAAGUAUGUUGUCCAGCGGGCAGUUAACCCAAAAACAAGGAUUCUGGAAUACUCAAUUGAGGAGUUUGGUGACGGGAUUAUCCCUGUCAAGUCUGAACCAGAAUCUGAAACAGUUCCGGCACAACCUCUUUUGCCUGGAGCUGAUGUUAAUGCUGAUGUGGUCUUUGUAUACGAGAAUGUGCUGUUUAACUACCCAGAAUCAGAAUUGGUUGAAGUAGCAACUCAGGCAAUUCUAGACAGCAAGCAUUUUGUGAAGGAGUGGCCUUUCAGGGUUGAGAAUGAUCAGUUGUUGAGUUUCAUAUGCCAAGUGAUGCCAACUUGGAAUGAUCUUGAAGCUAAAUUUCACAGGAAAGCUCCUCCUGGCGAGAUUAUCGUGCUUCCAUUGCAUGCUUCUGUGCUGGAACUAAAGCAAGAAGCAGAAAGUGCAUUGCGAGACACAUACUGCAUGCUGGAGAGUUUUGUUGUUAUAGAGAUAGAACACAUGGAAAACCUAGAUGAUAAGGACUUGCUGUGUAAAUUUGUCAAAUCCGGUGCAGAGAUUUUUGUGAAAGGGUAUGGCAUGGACAUAAAUUCUCAGUUGCGGUAUGAAGGUGGGUCAGAUAACUGGAAAGUAAGAUGUGAAUGUGGGGCUUGUGACGAUGAUGGGGAGAGAAUGGUAGAAUGUGACAUUUGUGAGGUGUGGCAACACACACGCUGCAAUGGAAUUGAUGAUGCUGAUACAGUACCACAAUUGUUCAUUUGUUCUGGAUGCUGUGAUUCUCUACUGCCAGGAAAAACUGAAACUCACCAGAGAUUUGAGAGUUCUGAUGAUUUGUUGAUGAUUCCUGCAGCAAUUGGAUAUGGAGCAGAGGCUGCAGAACCUUUUUACCAAGCUUGAAUGCGCUUUGACAAUGACGCUUUGGUUGAUAUGAGCUGAAAUAUCAAUAAACAGUGUUGGAAGGUAUAUUCCAGCCAGCCUGUAGUGCCUGGAGCUGAUAUCUAUGCUGAUGUGGUUUUUUAUAAAUGAUGAACUUUUCGACAACCCAGAACCAGAAAUUGGUUCCAUCAGCAACCCAGGCGAUUUAGGACAUCAAGGAAUUCCACUGAUCAACGAGUGUUAGGGAACAAAACAGAUUGUCUGGUAUAAUUCAUAUUUCUUGUCAGAUGCAUAUUCAGGUGCAGAAUAUAUUUACUACUCACAUGUUCAUCUAACAAGCUAACAAGCCCUAUCUAACUUUGAGCUUGGUUUGAGCACCUUAAACUCAAUAUGCUGCUAUUUCAAUCAUAAGAGUUUCGUGUAGUCCCCGAUUUAGCACUGCAAAUAUAGUGCUGGCCAACUUAAUUCCUAUUCUUUUUGUUCGCUACAUAUUUGAACACUUUGUUUUCAAGCUUUUGCAGUUACAAGCUUCUGUUGAAAUGGAUACAAUCCCUAGCAUAACACUUAAAGAAGUAAAUACAGCCCCUAUCUCCCGUUUCUGUUUGCAACACAUUUUCUAUCAAUCGCACGAAUUUAUUGCUGAGAGAAUGCUAUUAAUCAAUAUGCAUAAUUCAUUCUUGAAGCCCUAACAGCUUCUUUCUUGUAUAAAUCUGUAGUUUAAUAAUCACUGCAGUAGUUAUUCCCCAUGAUAUAACUGUGGGCACAAGAAAUUUGUGCAGGCUGCAAAGAACAUUCUUUUUGGUCAAUAUUUUUUCGUUUCUGUAAAUGCCUUCACUGUUUCAAGAUGUAGAGCAGCCAUAAUCUAUAUGUACUGUGCACACCGGGAAUUUG